AUCUUUGGUUUAACCUGCCCAAUGUAAAUUAUGAAUGGCCGCGGUACUUUGACCGUGCUAAGGUAGCAUAAUCAGUUGGCUUUUAAAUGGAGUCGAGUAUGAAUGGGAAAACCGGGCCUAGCUGUCUCAGUAUUACUAGUUUGAAUUUACUGUUUAAGUGAAAAAGCUUAAAUUUUGAAAAGGGACGAGAAGACCCUUAGAAUUUUGUUUAAAGUGAUUUUUAAUUACUAUUAUUUUGUUGGGGCGACAAAGAAAUAAUUAAAACUUUCUUCAAUAUACUAGCCGGUAUUAUCAAGCGGGAAUAAAUUACCUGAGGGAUAACAGCAUAAUUUUAAAAUUAAGUUUAUGACCUCGAUGUUGGACUAGGAAGCUUUUGGGUUAGCUGCUCAAUUUGCGGAUUCUGUUCGAAUUUUAACUCCUACGUGAGCUGAGUUCANA
This 438-nucleotide ribosomal RNA is filed under the name Eubranchus exiguus. RNAcentral describes it as "partial 16S ribosomal RNA". It matches the Rfam family "Bacterial large subunit ribosomal RNA", at positions 1843 to 2615 of the family's 2925-position model. The record is from RNAcentral. Lineage: Eukaryota; Metazoa; Mollusca; Gastropoda; Nudibranchia; Eubranchidae.